Molecule: ribosomal RNA, 492 nt
Filed under: uncultured bacterium
Lineage: Bacteria
Description: partial 16S ribosomal RNA
Rfam family: Bacterial small subunit ribosomal RNA
Source: RNAcentral
AGUGAACGCUGGCGGUAGGCCUAACACAUGCAAGUCGAACGGCAGCACAGUAAGAGCUUGCUCUUACGGGUGGCGAGUGGCGGACGGGUGAGGAAUACAUCGGAAUCUACUUUUUCGUGGGGGAUAACGUAGGGAAACUUACGCUAAUACCGCAUACGACCUACGGGUGAAAGCAGGGGAUCUUCGGACCUUGCGCGAUUGUAUGAGCCGAUGUCGGCUUAGCUAGUUGGCGGGGUAAAGGCCCACCAAGGCGACGAUCCUUAGCUGGUCUGAGAGGAUGAUCAGCCAAACUGGAACUGAGACACGGUCCAGACGACUACGGGAGGCAGCAGUGGGGAAUAUUGGACAAUGGGCGCAAGCCUGAUCCAGCCAUACCGCGUGGGUGAAGAAGGCAUUCGGGUUGUAAAGCCCUUUUGUUGGGAAAGAAAAGCAGCAGGUUAAUACCCCGCUGUUCUGACGGUACCCAAAGAAUAAGCACCGGCUAACUUCGUG